UCGGGAAUUUUGGGCAAUGGGCGAAAGCCUGACCCAGCAACGCCGCGUGAAGGAUGAAGUAUUUCGGUAUGUAAACUUCGAAAGAAUAGGAAGAAUAAAUGACGGUACUAUUUAUAAGGUCCGGCUAACUACGUGCCAGCAGCCGCGGUAAUACGUAGGGACCAAGCGUUGUUCGGAUUUACUGGGCGUAAAGGGCGCGUAGGCGGCAAUUCAAGUCAUCUGUGAAAUCUCCGGGCUUAACUCGGAACGGUCAGAUGAUACUGCUUUGCUAGAGUGCAGAAGGGGCAAUCGGAAUUCUUGGUGUAGCGGUGAAAUGCGUAGAUAUCAAGAGGAACACCUGAGGCGAAGGCGAGUUGCUAGGCUGACACUGACGCUGAGGUACGAAAGCUAGGGGAGCGAACGGGAUUAGAUACCCCUGUAGUCCCUGAGCGGGCUGGCAAGGCGCAU
RNAcentral lists this ribosomal RNA (447 nucleotides) under uncultured bacterium. RNAcentral's name for it is "bacterial SSU rRNA". It matches the Rfam family "Bacterial small subunit ribosomal RNA", at positions 355 to 825 of the family's 1533-position model. The record is from RNAcentral.